GUAGCUAUGUAGGUAUGUAUUAA
This 23-nucleotide non-coding RNA is filed under the name Arabidopsis thaliana (thale cress). Lineage: Eukaryota; Viridiplantae; Streptophyta; Magnoliopsida; Brassicales; Brassicaceae. The record is from RNAcentral.